Hippocampus zosterae (dwarf seahorse) is the source of this 1019-nucleotide long non-coding RNA. RefSeq lists it as uncharacterized. NCBI's taxonomy places the organism in Eukaryota, Metazoa, Chordata, Actinopteri, Syngnathiformes, Syngnathidae. The transcript is spliced from 3 exons. The record is from RefSeq and is a predicted model, not a curated record.
GAAAACAACUGAUGAAGUCACUUUUUUUUUCGUUUUGAGAUAACUUGGAAUAUAUACUAGAUGUAGUAAAAGCCCCGCAAACAUUAGAUUUAUGGAACAUAUGGUGCAACAAUCAAAAGAGAUGACCGAAGAAAUCUUGAGCACAAUGGCCCUAAAAUGGCUUUUUGCUGUUGAUGUCCAAAGGCUGAGCAAUAUGGAUGAACAAUGUAUCAUGGGGCUCUCCGACUGUCAUGACCAAUGUUCCCAUGGUUGGAAGUGACAUCAGGGGAUGCCGAGAUUGACAGGGAUGGUGAAUUAAAGUUCUCUCUAGAGUCAAGAUAGAGGCUAAAGGAGCAAAAAUCAAAACAUGCAGUAAAGUUUGCCAACAAUAGCAGUGUACUCUUUGCGGUGAUAUGAAAACCCCCAGGCCAACUCCUGCUAUUCACAGAUGGGACUAUCUGCACUCACACAAGCACGUCAAAAGGGGGCCCGCACCAAGAUGAACUAUGCUGGGAACCUGUCACAUGAAAGUGAUUAAAACAAGAAAAUCCACUUAACAUUUAACAAAAUUGCUUCGAUGAGGAAAAAAAAAACGGCCCUGACAGUCAUCAUGGGCAAUGAACAGUCAUUCGAUAUGAAAACGACUUUUUGCACAGUAAAAUAUCUGUAUUUUUUUUUCCAAAAGGAAGUUCCUUCCUUUUAGCAGAGCGGAUUGUUCUUCAGCUUUGUUUAUGUAAAGCUUUGUUUAUGCUUAAAAUUAUAUUUCACUCUGUGAUAGGAGCACAACCAGUUUCGUCCAGGAACAAAUACAACAGCUGGAGUGAGUGUGAAUUUAUUUUUACUCAGCAUCCAUUGUUUUCCAUUAAAACCUCAACACAACACAGUUUCUAAAUUUCAUCCGCUUUAGUGCAAACAGGACUCUCGUAACAAAAGGUAUUUUAAAUUCAAACUACGAGUUUUGCCCUCCGGUGUGGGUCACGUGAUCACCCAACCACAAGAGCUCCUGAGUGAGUUGUGGCAGGACAACUCAUAGCUGAUUC